AUGAGUUUUGACUUUCUUAUGUAAAGACUUUGUAUCAUGAGUUUUUCUACUGGAUGAGUCUACCUCUGGUUGUAAAUGUAUAUUUAGGUCUCCCCCACAAAUAAGAAGGCCUACCAUCUUAUAUUUAUAA
Amblyraja radiata (thorny skate) is the source of this 130-nucleotide long non-coding RNA. RefSeq lists it as uncharacterized. Lineage: Eukaryota; Metazoa; Chordata; Chondrichthyes; Rajiformes; Rajidae. The record is from RefSeq and is a predicted model, not a curated record. The transcript has 3 exons.